AAAUACAUGAGAACAUAAAGAUUUAAAACUAAAGUUUGCUUGAAAAUGGGACUCCUUGUCUAAAUCAUCCAAGGAAAAUUCACGGUUUCUUCAUCUAUUUAGGUUUCACAGUAAAAAAAAAACUGUUUUUUGGAUCUCAAUUACUAGACUGAUGCAGCAUUGAAAAGACAUGUGAGAAACCAUUUUGAAAAAGACAGAGGAAGUACAAAUAGCAAUGGAUACAAAUAAUGUUAGAUGCUAUAGUUAUUUUCAAAGCUGUCUUUACAGAAGAACAGGUAUUGUUUUGGUUUUAGGACAACUUUGAUGAAAGGUUUUAAUCCACUUCAAAUGUUGACUAGUGUAACAACCCCAACACAGAAGUAGUCUACCCAGUGUUUUUGAACACAACAGGAAGAAAAAUGCCACAUAUGCUCAUCAGAGGCCAUUCUGAGAUUGUGUUUGUGUUGAGUUUUCCAUCCGGUUCUGUUGUGUUGUGUAAUUGGACCGUGGUCUCGUCCAGUAGAUGGCGCUGUGUUACUGACCUCUGGAGGAGAGAGGGGCCAACCUGCUGAUGGACAGAAGAAAGGGACACGUCUCCGCUGCCGCCCACUCCAACAGGAAACAUUCACCAUCUUUGGUCCCUCAUUUUGUCCGUGCCGACCGGCGAAGGAAACUCAGUGAUCUUCUAAGGCUUGUCAUUUUCCUGCCGGUAAGUGGGCGGCAGUUUGGUUGAGUUGGUCACGCAGGGGACCUGGACGGCUCGAAUGAACGACGUCCUGCAAUCCAAGCAGACGAUAGACUAGUCUGUGGCUGCACAUUCUUCAACUCCUACAGACGCUCCUAAAAUAUCUGCUCAGACAAAUCACAUUUACAUUUUCUUGCGCGCGCACACACACACAUGCCAAAGAGUCACUGUGACCCAUCAAAGCAGCUUCAGGCUCUUUUGCCGGUCUGUUUUUUCCAAGUUGGUGUUCAGCUGGUCAGUCUGAUGCCCCAAAUAUAACCACCAAAGCAGACCAGUGAGAACCAGCUAGAGGCCGGAUUAGACCUUUUUUCAGCUGGGCCUCAAGGGCUGGACCGGGCUUUUUGGAUAUCCGCUUUUUGAGGGCUGUGGAACGCUCCGGUGCUCCUGUAACCCAGGAAUGGCUCGAGUGAUCUUUGCAGAUGCCGUGCCAAAAUGAAUGACAACGUCCCAGUGCUGCAAUGCAGUAAUUUAAUAGCGCUUCCACCGGACAGAUGCUCUUCACCUUCACACCAGCAGAGGGCGACAGCAGCGAUGAAAGGCAAAUUGCCCCCAUCCACUCAUCUGCCCACCAAAGCCCCGAACACUUGUCCUGUGGUGCAGUUGCUUCCUCCAUUGCUGAAAUGACAGAAUGAAAAGUAGUAGAUACACCCACCUUACGCCCGCAUCAGAGUCGGUAACACCAUUCUCGCCUGUAGGGAGUGAGAAUGUGUAAAGUGGUGCAAGGAUGUCAAACAGAAUGCCAUUCAUUCCAGGGCUGGGCAGAGGGAGCCGGUGCUGGUGUAGAGUUCAAGGGAAUGCUGGGAGACCGCUGGGGUCGUGUCUUGCUGACUCAGCAGAAACCCUCCGCUGACGUCACUCUGCUUUUCCUUCUUUGCUGGUCAGACUGGAAUCCUCCAAAAGCAGUCACUUUAGUGCAGGCCAUCUCUGUGCAAACAAGUUACUCUGGGAGGGUCUGGGAACAGAUGAUGGCAGCUGAGCUUUUUUGUAAAUUUAUAAGACAGAAUAUCUCUUGAUUAUGAGUUGUUAGUGACAUCUGACUAUUUGAGAAGAAAUGUAAUUAUUACAAACCCAUUUCUAAUACUUACUGGUAUUUGUGCUUUAAAGAAACAGUUCACCCAAAAGUUAAAAGCAAAAAAGGAUGAAAUUUGACUCCCCCUCAGGCUAUCUGAGAUGUAGAUGAGUUUGUUUCAUCAUCAAUUUAGCAUUACAUCCCUUGAUCACCAGUGGGUCCUCUGCAGUGAAUGGGUGCCGUCAGAAUGAGAGUCCAAACAGCUGAUCAAAACA
Onychostoma macrolepis is the source of this 2008-nucleotide long non-coding RNA. RefSeq lists it as uncharacterized. The transcript has 5 exons. NCBI's taxonomy places the organism in Eukaryota, Metazoa, Chordata, Actinopteri, Cypriniformes, Cyprinidae. The record is from RefSeq and is a predicted model, not a curated record.